RNAcentral lists this ribosomal RNA (557 nucleotides) under uncultured Aspergillus. RNAcentral describes it as "SSU rRNA". It matches the Rfam family "Eukaryotic small subunit ribosomal RNA", at positions 194 to 755 of the family's 1831-position model. Lineage: Eukaryota; Fungi; Ascomycota; Eurotiomycetes; Eurotiales; Aspergillaceae. The record is from RNAcentral.
GGAAGGGGUGUAUUUAUUAGAUAAAAAACCAAUGCCCUUCGGGGCUCCUUGGUGAAUCAUAAUAACUUAACGAAUCGCAUGGCCUUGCGCCGGCGAUGGUUCAUUCAAAUUUCUGCCCUAUCAACUUUCGAUGGUAGGAUAGUGGCCUACCAUGGUGGCAACGGGUAACGGGGAAUUAGGGUUCGAUUCCGGAGAGGGAGCCUGAGAAACGGCUACCACAUCCAAGGAAGGCAGCAGGCGCGCAAAUUACCCAAUCCCGACACGGGGAGGUAGUGACAAUAAAUACUGAUACGGGGCUCUUUUGGGUCUCGUAAUUGGAAUGAGUACAAUCUAAAUCCCUUAACGAGGAACAAUUGGAGGGCAAGUCUGGUGCCAGCAGCCGCGGUAAUUCCAGCCCCAAUAGCGUAUAUUAAAGUUGUUGCAGUUAAAAAGCUCGUAGUUGAACCUUGGGUCUGGCUGGCCGGUCCGCCUCACCGCGAGUACUGGUCCGGCUGGACCUUUCCUUCUGGGGAAUCUCAUGGCCUUCACUGGCUGUGGCGGGGAACCAGGACUUUUAC